GAACCCAACUAGUAUCCAUGAAGAUGCGGGUUCAAUCUCGGGGCUCGCUCAGUGGGUUAAGGAUCCUGCGUUGUUAUAGCUGUGGUAUAGGUCACAGAUGAGGCUCAGAUCCCACGUUGCUGUGGCUGUGGUAUAGGCUGGCGGCUACAGCUCUGAUUCAACACCUGGCCUGGGAACUUCCAUAUGCCAUGGGUGCAGCCCUAAAAAAAGAAAAAGAAAAAUUCGAGUACCAAGAAUAGAAAUGGUAAGACUAUUGCAAGAGUGAUAAUGAGAAUCUCUGUCUCUCUCCAUCUCUCUCCCUCUCCCCCCUUCUCUCAUUCUCCCCCCUCGCUUUCUGCCUUUCUCUCCCUCUCUCUUCCCCCCAUCUCUCUCUCUCACUCCCUCUCUCUCCUUCUCCCCAUCUCUCUCCCCAUCUCUCACACCCUCUCUCUCUUUCUUGCCCCCUUCUCUCUGUCUCUCUCCCUCUCUUCCCCCCUCCCCCCCGUUCCUCUCUCUCUCACAUGUGCACACACACCUGCACACACAUCUGCACACACAGUGGUUUCUUCAUGCUUAAAUUAGUUACUGGAUUUCAAAAACGGUGGAGGUUGUUGAGGACGAGGCAGUGUGGUGAUGAGGGCAUCUACUCUCCAAAGCCAGAGUCCCACUUCCUCUUCUUAUGUCUGCUGCCCCUCUGUGCCCGUGGACAAGUGGUCUGGCCUGCCUGGGCCGGUUUCCUCAUCCGAUGAGGUUCCCGCGGUGCCCUGGGUGGUGCAGAGUGUUGGGCAGAACCGAUGGCAUCAAGCGCACCUCAUCAAAUUGGCAUUAACUUCAGAGAUUUCACUUAGAUCAAAGUUAAGAUUUAUUACCGAUAGAAAGAGUCACCACCCUUGUUGUGGGGCCGGUUCCUCAUGAAGUCGCUAUUAAGAAAGCCUCUAGAAUCAUCAGUGACCCUGUCAAGGUAAAUGACCAAAACUCAGACUCCACAGAUACGCUCAGCCCAAUGAAUGAUCCGUAAUUUCUUUUAGGCAUCUUUGCCAAUCCAAUCCAGUCUGCAGCCUGUAUCUUAACAAAGCAAGUUCCCCUGACUGGAGACCCGAUAGCCGCUCUGUCGAAAUGCGCUUGAUUCUUUUUCUCCAUAAUGAAGCCAUUAUUCUCUAUCAUCUAGGACAGCCAGAGAGACCUGCUAUAAACUAUUGGAGAUGAAUGGGUGGGGGAGUUCCCUACGGGAUGAGCUGGCCCACUGAAGGGCAGAGAGAAGAGAACUGACUGCCUGUAAUUUACCUCGUUUUCGCACUGGCGGGGCGGGUUCAAGGGGAAUUACCAUCGCUGGGUUUCUUUAAGAGCAUCUUAACCUGGUUGUUGAGGGCGGGCGAUUCUUCUCAAGAGAGGCCUGGAGGAGGCGGAGGUAGCCCGUGGUGGAGCCAGAAUCGCCCGCGCUCGGUUCCUGGGGGUCACGCUGCUGCCCUUCUUCCUCCCCUCCAGGGAGUACCGGAGUAGGUUUACGAGCGAAGAGACGCUGAUGUUCUGCAUGAGGGUGAUGGUGGGCGUCAUCAUCCUCUACGACCACGUGCACCCCGUGGGGGCUUUCUGCAAGACGUCCAAGAUCGACAUGAAAGGCUGCAUAAAAGUUUUGAAGGAGCAGGCCCCGGACAGUGUGGAGGGGCUGCUGAAUGCCCUCAGGUGAGCCUCAGCCCCAUGGGGCAGCCAGCCCUUCAGAUCCAUUGCAAAUAUAGAUGCCAGAGGGCUGGAGCAUCAGGCUUAACACCCUGCCUGUGUUCACACAUUUCAUCUUCCCAACAGUCUGUUGAGGUUCACUACAAAACACUUGAAUGAUGAGUCGACUUCCAAACAGAUUCGAGCAAUGCUUCAGUAAAGCUUUGCUCAGAGAAGAGGAUCUUUGUACUGACCUCAGAAAAUGUAUAUGUUUACAUAAUUUAAUACAGAUUGAUGUUAAUACUCGUGUAUUUACAUAACCUCCUUGUCACUGAAAUAUAUGGACCUUGAUUUGUAUCCUGACUGACUCAACCCAGCAGAGCAUAAAUUGACUGGAGAGCCUUACCUGUGAUGUCUAAAACAAACAAACAAAAAACAACCCUUCUCCAAAGGCAAAAUUCAGAGACUUUAUCUUUGCACCUAUAACCAUCAGAAAUGCCUAAUGGCGUGUGGCCAUGUUUUAAUUCUAGAUGUGUAACCUCUCUGGGAAGUAUAGUUAUAGAAACACAAGCUGUUUGAUUUCCUGUGUCAGUUCAGCUACAAGAAACACAACGAUUAUCCUGACAGAGGGAGAGAGGGUUUCAAGAAAAGAAAAAUGCAUGUGGAGACACGGACCCAAGUGUUUGGAAUGCAGCAGGCCCCCUCUCUUUCCCCAGACGGCGCACCACGCGUGCAACUUGUCUGUUUGCACGGAUUUUAUUUACCAGCACAUUCUCUUUCUCAUUUGAUUUGCACUCGCUAACCUUCCCUUUCCAUUUCGCAAGAAGAAAGUCACCUGGGUUUGCAUCGUUUCAUGGGAGGAGGCAAAAAUAGAUGUACUUUGUGGCUAGGCUGGUGAUGGUGCUUUUCUUGGUGGGGGGAGCAGGUGGGGAGGAAGAGCGCCCAGGCACCAGGACAAUCAUAUUUCUGCUUCCACCCUCUGACCACAGGGACAGGGAUAUGGAGCUCUGGCUUUGAAACUGUGGGAAAGGUGGCUGACAUGCCAGUUAUCUUUGAGUGCUGGGUGCACAACCCCUUCUAAUAGGAGCUCUGUGCUCUGUGGACCGUUCAUGUGGCAGCAGAGAUCUAGGCAUUUAAUCAGGUACCAGAAACCUGGGGAGUUUGGAGGGUAAAUUUUGUUUUCUAGUUAACUGAUAUUUAAAAGGCAACUCCUCCACCACUCAACUGCCAGCUCGUCCCAAUGUAUAAACUCUGGUUUGAGGACCUGGAUUGUGUCCUGUUGAUUCACAGAGUGAUCUCGGGAGAUUCACUUAAGCUCUGGGUCUCAAUUUCCUCAUCAGUAACAUGAGCAAACACUAGUUCCCAUUGUGGCUCAUGGGUUGAAGAUCCGGUGUUGCUGUGAGCUCUGGUGUAGGUUGCAGAUGCAGCUCAGAUCUGGCAUUGCUGUGGCUGUGGUGUAGGCUGGCCGCUGCAGAUCCAAUUCAUCUCCUAGCCUGGGAACUUCCAUAUGGCAUCGGUGUGGCCAUAAAAAGAAAAAAAAAUGGGCAAACAAAACAGAUACUCUCCAAUAAUCCCACAAGACAGUGAGCCAAUAAAAAGACUGACCAUGCUAUCCUUCCUUAGUAAGUAGAGUCCAGGAAACACCACCCCACUUGCCUUGAUUAGCCAUACGGUGAGGGUCACCCUGUCUGUAGAUCACAGCUUAGCCUGGAAUCUUGGAGAUCUUCUCUCUUGAUCUCCAGUGGAGAAAUGAGAUAGAGGAUGAAGUCAAACAGGAUCACCCCCCACGUGGGACUAGAGCCCAGGGAGCCCCUUCCUGACUCCGUGACCUUUUCCUAUCACCACGUGGCCUAUGGUACAUACGAUGGGAUGAUGCUAGACACUUUGAAAGAAACCCUCAGCCUGGCCCGUGUAAUUGCUUGCCCCUUCCUGAUGGAAGAAGAGUUGCCCAGGGAAUGCCAUCUCUGGGAGUUGGGUCUGGGUGCAUCAGGGUUUGGUGUCAUUCGCAGUGUCCCAAGGAAUGAGCUGUCGCAUCAUUCCUUUCCCAGAUUUCAGUGGCCAGCUGGCAUUCUCUGGAGUCCUCCAAGAAAAGGGGAGAAGGACUUCGGUUUUAUUGACUUUUAACCGAGAAAUCCAGUCAAGCGGCAGAACAGAUCCCCUGGUCUGUAUCUAAAUGUCAGUCAACCAAGAGAGGAAAGGCCCUUUUCUUUGGAGCUUUUCAAGUUGAAUGAGCGCAGCUGCUCUGAUGGGGGUUCUCUUAUUAGAGGAGAUAUGUGCACGAUGGUAGCUUUCAAGACCUUUUCAGACCUGGGGAUUCUAAAACCCUAGAGGAAGCCAGAAAUUGGGCAGACACUGGGUGAACCAAUUCAUUAAAUAUUCAGCUUAAAGAAAUGUCCUUCUCCUGGGAGACCACAUGUUACCUUUGGGGAACAACUGUCAAGACUAGAAAUAGAGGCACUCACUGUUUGUCAUUCCUGUCUACUUUUUUCCCAUAUCAGGGGAGGAGAGUAUGUCUUAGAGAGAGGAAAGGACUUGCAGAUAAAGCGGUUGAGCACAUAUGUAAUUUUUAAUUAGACUUUCUAUCAAAUGGGACCAAACAUAUUGGAGGGGCUGCUGACCUGCCCCAAUUCAGCCAGGCCACCUUGUUUCAAAGCCGAGAUUCACCAGUACCUGGCUUCUCAAAAGCCCAGGGCCGGGACUGUUGCCUCUGAUUAUCAGGAGGACAGGUUAACUGAAUGUCUGUGAUCACUCACAGGUGAUGGGCCGUGGGUCCACUCCAGAGCUACUGUGGGAGACAAAUUCUCUUAACAGAUUGUCCUCUAGGCAUCAGGAGUCCUUGAACAGUCAUAUAUAUACAUAUAUAUAUAUUUUGUGUGUGUGCCGCGUGCACACGUGUCCAAGACCCGUGGGUGGUUUAGGGGAAAGUGCUAGCAACAGUAUCCAUGUCAAUGUUAAGUAUAUUUCAUAUCUGAUGUCUCAUGCUUUUCAAAUAAAAGUGUUUUCCAUUACUCAGAUAUUUAUUUUUGGGCGACAAGGUGAAAAUUAAAAUCCUCAGAUGCACUGCGCCUUUGGCAUUAAAACAUUGUUCUCAGAAACUUUUAUGUGCCGCUAGGAAUUAGUAAAAAAAAAAAAAAAAAAAAAAAAAAAAGGAAGUGGCAAUAGGAAUGUUUGAAUUGUGGUGACCCAUUGGGGUGGAGUAUUAACAACCAGAAAUUAAGUCUUGGAUACCACCCUUUGACUAUUAAUUACUAUCAUGAUUCAUCAGUGUUUUCUCCUAGUCAUCACCAUUGGGAUAUUAAUGGUAAACUGGGGUUUUUAAUACAUCAUCGCAUUGAAGUAACAGUGAUUUCAUGCCUCCUCAAAAGGAAAGUGAAGCCUACUCAAUCUUGGGAUCUAAUUGUGCAGUAGAUAUCAGAGACUUCUCAUUCAAUCAUGUGUCCUAGACAGCUACAAAUUUUUCUAGAUGUUAACAUUAAACAUUGGAAUUUUACCUUAAAGAAACGAAAUCUUUGGAACCCAAUUUCCCCGCUCCAUCUGUAAAGGCUGUUGCAUAGACAAAGCUGUUUAAAAGAUGUCACAUGUUGUUUGCUGAAGUCAUUGUAAUUUUUUUGCCUGCUUUGCCUCUUUUGUACAGAAGUUUUGAGUGUGAAAUGAAAAUUAAAGUUUGGUACAUAUAUUUAAA
RNAcentral lists this long non-coding RNA (5317 nucleotides) under Sus scrofa (pig). RNAcentral's name for it is "lncRNA (ENSSSCG00025031497.1)". Lineage: Eukaryota; Metazoa; Chordata; Mammalia; Artiodactyla; Suidae. The record is from RNAcentral.